CACAAGUAAACUUCAAUCUUCAAGCGUUUCCUCCAUCUUUCUUGCCUUUGCGUGGGGAAAAAGGUAGCUUCUCUUGUUCCCUUUGAGCUCCAGAUGGGUUUGUUGGAAUGUUUGGGUUAACCAUUUUGAAAGGUGGGUACUUGGGGAAAGGCCAGCCCUUUAAUGGAAACUUGUGGCGGAAGAAUCCAGCAAUCAUGGAUUUUGCAUGGUCGAUAUUUCCCACUGAAGACGAAUCAUCCGUUAUGGUUUGAGGUGAUGUUCGUUCUGAUUGCGGAUUUGAGACAGGAAGUGAGAAUGCAGGUUGAGAACUGAGGAAGAAUGUUUGAUCGGAAAACGGUAAUAAAUAAGAUAUGGGUUUAAACAAAUACGUCUUAUUAAUGGUCGGAGAAAAACGUUCAGUCGGUUACAAGAGAAACGAAGAGAGUGCGACAGAAAGGAAGCCGGUGGCUCGAUGAGCUACUGGAAAAGUACAACUAACGGCGAGAUGAAGCAAAGGUGAAAACCCUAAUCUAGCCGCCAAGUGUUAGUUAGUGAUUUCGGAUCCUUCUCUCUUUGUCUCCCCUUUCCCUUAUAUAGACGUCCUAAUGCCUCGUCCUUGACCUAAUUUAUGCCAUCUUGGUGGGCCUCCUCUGCUGGGCCGAGAAGCCCGUAGGCGUCCGAGCAGCCGCUGAGCCGAAUGUACUUCAGUCGAUGAUGAUUGACUAAAAGUACUCAAGAGUCAAGCCGAGAGACCUGACUCUUGAGCCGACCGAUCGAGCCGUCGCUCUACCUAAUCCGGGCCAGGCCUUUCUAUUCCUCGGGCCUUGUAGGAUGGUCAGAUCCAUCCUCUACAGUAAGCCCCCCCCCCCAGUCCAUUAGUGAGCAAAGUGCUUUCUGGCUCGUGAUGGAUUCUAAGGUUUGAAGGUUUGAGGGAAUAGAAGGCCUGUCGGAAGGUUGGAGCGGUUGGUCGAUGAGUCGCACAGCGUCGUUCUUUUGGAAGCGAGCAGUAGAGGCUUUAUCGCUCCUUUUGAUCGUUGUGUCGCAGGGAGGGUUCUGGAAUAUUUCCGCUUGAGGCUGAUUAGUCGCGGAUAUUCAGAUCCCGACUGACAUAUCUAGAUUAACCGUUGGUUUAUUCUGAUUUUAAAAUGACCGACGUCCGAUUUAGACGAGAAGCCGAACCGUCGCGAGGGUCCGCUGGAUAUUUGAGAGAGUUUCGAGGCCCAUUUAGGCCCGUUUAGGCUUAAUGACGACACCUCGAAUUCCCCCCCCCUUUUUCUCUUUUAAAUGCACCGAGAAGUCGAAACAUCGCGAGGGUCCGCUGGGUUUUUAGGAAGAGUUUUGAGGCCCAUCUAGGCCCGAAUAGACCUAAUGAUGAUGCCUCGAGUCCCUCCCUCUCUUUUCCUUAUAAAUACGCAGAUCCUCUCUCAUUUCUUCAAGUUUCCUCCGCGAUCAAAGGUACUCUCUCUCUCUCCUUCUUUUACUUCUCUAGGUGUUAUAGCCUUCAUUCAACGCAUUCUUCGCCGCCUUGUUCUACCAUGUCGUCGGCUCAGGGGUUAUCGAGACAGCAAAAGGGGAAAUCAGUUGCGGCGGCAUCGGCUCCGGCAAGGGGUCCUGACGGAGGUUGUAUCGGGGAUCUCGAGUCGACUCAUCACGAGGCGAUGAUGGACACAGUCGAUUUGUCUCGCUCCCAGAGGCUUCUGGUCGCAGAUGCUACACGGCUUGCGAGGGAAGGGAGCGAGUACGUCGCCGUGAGAGAUGCGACGGAGUGUGCGAGAGACGGACAGAGCGGGGCGGUGCCUGUUGACUCGAUUACCUUGAGGGCUCGCGCAGUGGAAGACGAUCCUUUGGAAGACGACGAUUCUGAAGCCGAGUUGUUUCCGACGACCUUCAAUCCCGAAGGGAUUUUCGAGGAGCUUCCACGACUACAUCCUGACUUAUUGCGCCCUGCUUUCGUGGCUGGUCAAGAUUGGGACGGUGUGGAGGAGACUAAGUCGACCCUGAGGAGCGUGAAGAGGGUUCUUCGGGCCAAGAACGCUACAGGCGUGACCUUCCUCAUUCCUACGCCGGAGCAAAGGCCUUGGUCUCCUCCGAUCGGGUACCAAACAGUAUACGAGUCUUAUUUCCAGGAUGACACUCGCUGUUGGUUCCUCAUCCCGCGACUGAUCACCGCGUACGCUAGGCGGCGGGAUCUCGCGAUUAGUCAGUUACUGAACGGCUCGCUGCGACUAGCCGUCGCUGUUCUAGCGGAGGAGAUUGACAUGCCGAUGAGCGUCAGGUCGUUCGAGGAGAUGACCUCGAUAAACGAUAUGAAGGACGGAACCUACUCGGUGAGGAUGCGACCAAACUGCAAUGUGUGUGCCGGUCAUCCAAACAAAACGCAGAAUUGGCAGCGUUCCUACUUCUUCAUCAAGUCCGACGACUCGGCUUUCGAGGAGCCUCCUCGAGAGGACUAUCGGGUCCUAUGGAACCGUUCUUGUGGUAGAAUAUCUUGUCGCGAGCUACGUCUGAUUUUGUUGACCUUAACGGAACUUUCUUUUUGUUGUGCUCGCAGUUGGCCAUCCUACGUCUCCAGUCUAUCCUGAGGAUUUCCUGAAGAGCGUUCGAGCCGUCGCUUUGCUUAGGAUCUACCGUUGGUCUGAGAUUACCUUUGAGAAGAUUCGCGAGCUUCAGGACCGGAUCGCUCGAAGUGCGUUCUCUCGCCGUUUCUGGUUAUUUUUCGAUCGCAAAGUUUAUUUGUCGCGUCCUGACCAUUUUUUUUUUUGCCUUAUGUUUUCAAGAGAGUGGAGAUCUGAUCUUCCGACCGUUCUUCCUAUUCGCACCAAGCGACUAGACAUCUUCCCGAAGGACAUCCAGAAGCAAGUUUCUGAAGCAAAGAGGAUGGCAACUCUUCCUGAUUUGAGGACGAUGUUAGCCGCCCAGCUGGGACUGGUCAGCGAGGAAGGACCCUCGACGACGGUUCUUCGCACUGGCGAGGUUCCCCCUUCUGGCGCUAGAAACACGGGGAAGGGUAAAAAAAGGAAGAGGGGCGGCUCGGGAGCCGAGGGGAGCGCCGAGGAGGCGAGCGACGUUCCUCCUUCUGGCGAACCCCAGAAGAAGAAGAAGAAGAAGAAGAAGAAGAAGAAGAAGAAGAAGAAGAAGAAGAAGAGGACAAAGAAGCCCGUUGACGAGCAGUCGGAGAAUCCCGAAGAACCGACUGAGAUUGAGGAGGGUGAUGUUCAAGAAGAAGAACUUCAACCCGAAGAGGAGGCUUCUGAGGCUGAAAUCUCGGGAGAACGGGACGAUGCGGCGGUAGUUGGUGAAGGGGAGGAAUCUAAAAUUCCUCUUAACGCCGCCCGUCCGGACGGUUCUGAAGAAGACAGCGGAGAAUCGCCGCUUUUGAUCAGGAGAUGUAACGACGAGGUUGGCGAUGAGGCGCGAUCUCCUAUUCUGGCGUCUUCUCGCGAGGGAACUCCGGUUCCCAUUGGGGAAGGGGUCGCUCAGAUCAGCACUUCUUCUCGCGGUUCUGCUAUCUUGAGGAGGGUGCCCGGAAUCAACUUUCCAGACAAGGUUUCGUUUCACUACGAGGGACCGGCCCCUCUAGUGUACGUUCCCGAGAAGUGUGGAGAGUUCCUUCGCCAAUUAAGGGGGAGGGCGAACCCUUUGCCCGCUGUGAAGGACCUCAUCUUUGGGGGUGAAUACGAGGAAGCCGCGAGGGCCAAGCUGCUGGUAAAUGGCUCGGUCCCUCUUUUUUUUUUUCGUUCUUUAACUUCUUCUUACAAUUUUCAUCUCCUCGUUUGUUUAGGGGGAUAGCGCGACGAACGUCGUGAUCGAUAAGUACGACACUGCCCUGAAGGGAGCUUUGGGUGAACUCGAGCUAGCUAAGAAGGAGCACGCGGAGAAAGAGGAAGCUUCUGCUCGCCAACUGAAUGCAUCGAGGGAUGACGUCGAGAGGCUUAACGGGAUGGUUGCUCGCAUCAUUGCUCGAAGAGACGAGCUCAAAGCCGAGUUGGAGGUAUCCCGAGGAGUCGUUCGUGAGCUCGAGCGGAAGAACGCUGAACUUGAGAGCGAGAAGGUUUCGCUCGCUGCGUCUCAUGAAAGAGAGAUGAGGCGCCUCAGAGAUUCCAGGAUCCUGGAAGUGACGAGGGAAANNNNNNNNNNNNNNNNNNNNNNNNNNNNNNNNNNNNNNNNNNNNNNNNNNNNNNNNNNNNNNNNNNGGGAAAGAGGAAGAGUUGAGACCGAGAUGGCCGCGAAAGCUAAUCGUCACUUCGCUAGGGUUCGCUCCCGAGAAGAGCGACGAGGUCCCUAUGAGGAGGCCCGGUUGCUUCAUAGCCAAGCCUUCGGAACCAGGAAAUGCCUUGAGGCUUUGAAGAGGGCUGGGAGCGACAUCUCGCAAGCUACUAUCGAGCUGUUCGCCGAGCAAGAGAAGAAAUAAGAGGAGGAAGCCGAGAAGCUUAGGGUGGGCGAGAUAUCCGAGGAAGAUUUCGCACUUUAUCCUCUCGUAUUGGACUCUCAGUUUGUGGAUGCUCGAAUCUUGGCGAGUCUCGAUCCGUAUGGGUCCAACGCCGGCUUGAUCGAUCCGGAGAUUGCAGCGAGCCUCCACGUUCCGCCUACUCAUCCGGCUGAAGAGCGGCGCGAAGACCCGACGCCUCUUCUUGAAGGUCCUUUGGCUGAUCCAGAGAUCGUCCCGAGAUCAGGCGAAGUGCAUGUUUCUCCGGCUGCUCAUGAGUCAAGCGUCAGGGCUUCGGAGCUUUCCGUCCUCAACGAUCGCGAGAGUGAUCGGGAAGCUUAGUCUUUUUUGUUUGUUGUUUCUUUUGAGUCCCGGAGGACUUGUGUUGUUGCUUUUUAAACUUUUGCCUUUCAAGACUUCUACUUUGUUGUUUCUCUUUUGUUAUUUCCAAUUCUUCGAAUCGUAUUAACUGUUGGUCUUUUAUCGUACUUGUCUAUCAAAUGCAUGAUUUCUCAAGAUUCGAAGUGACUGUUUGUUUAGUAUAAACGUUAUUCGAGAUAUCGAAUCGGUGUAGUGUUUAAGCUCGUCAUGACUUUGUCUCGGUCGAUUUCUUUGACUCGCAAUCGUUCGUCAUUUGAGUUUCGUUGUUAAUUGUGAGUUCUCGACGUUGACGGUUCCAAAUCUACCCUAACGUAAUUUUCAAACGUUCGGUAGGUCAAACCUUACUUAGUAAAUUACAGGGUGAGUUGGAGUCAUUGUCUCGGCCGUGUUGGUUUAAAUCGCAACGCGGUCGACUCCCGUGAAUACGUGUCUGAUCAGGACACAUCCAACAUGUAAUGCGAGUACCGAUACGCUUGUUCGAGAAGCCGGGGCAUGCUCGUGUCGGCAUCGCUUAAGUGAUCGUCUGCUUCGGAGAUCGAUUCCUCGGGGAGGAGGUUUGUUUUUUUUUUUUUUCGGCUGGACCCCUUUUUCUUUUGGGCUGCCUACGUAUCCCUUUGUGGGAAUCAAGCCAUUCGUAGUUCUUAGAUUGCGAGUAAAAGUGGCUUUUGAGGCGCAUUUACUCGGGUUUUUUUGUAGCGAGAGAACGUGACCGUUGGUCGUUCUUUCGCCUUUUUUUUUUUUUUUUUUUUUUGUGUGAGACAGAAAUAAGAACUUUAAAUUAUUUUGAUUCAAGACCCCCCCUUUUUUUUUUUUUUUUUUUUUGAGCGAGAGGCGAGUAAAAGUGGCCUUAGUGGCGAAUUUACUCGGUAAGGCAUUCUUCUUGACUAAGGAUGGAAGAGGCGGAGAUGUUUGAAGUUCCAAGCUCUCGGUAUUGCUUCGCCUGUUGAAGUCUCGAGGCGGUAUACUCCUGGUUUGAUGACUUCGACUAUCUUGUAUGGUCCUUCCCAGUUGGCUCCAAGCUUGCCGGCUUUCCAUUCCUUAGUGUUCUCGAAGACCUUUCUUAAGACAAGAUUGCCCAUUUCGAGGGGACGCGAUUUGACCUUUUUGUUGUAGUACCUCUCGAUUUGAUGCUGGUAAUUCUGGAUACGGAGUAGUGCUUGUUCGCGCUUUUCCUCGAUGUCGUCGAGUGCGGCGAGCAGCAUGUCGCGGUUGAGUUCGACGUUUUGUGGCAUUCGCGAUCGGCGCAAGCUCGUCACAUUCACUUCUGCGGGGGCCAUUGCCUCGACGCCAUAGGCCAUCGAGAAAGGGGUAGCCUUCGUCGCUCCGCAAGGAGUUGUUCUGUGGGACCACAUGACACCGUCUAGUUCAUCUGCCCAGCAACCUUUCUUUAAGUCGAGUCGUUUUUUCAGACCGUCGAUGAUGGUCUUGUUCAUCGACUCGGCUUGGCCGUUACUUUGCGGGUUUCUCGGGGUCGACAUGUUGAGUCGAAUUCGCCAUCUGUCGCAGAAUCCCUUGAAAUGAUGCGAGAUGAAUUGUGAACCGUUGUCUGUAAUGAUCUCGUAUGGGAGCCCAUGUCGGCAGAUUAUGUUCUUCCAGAAGAAGUUUUGUACCUCCUUGUCGGUGAUGCUGGCGUAGGCUUCGGGUUCAACCCAUUUGGUGAAGUAAUCUGUGAGGACCAGGAUGAACUUCUUUUGGCGAGAUGCCGGCAUCGGACCUAUGAUGUCCAUUCCCCAUCGCAUGAAUGGGUAUGGAACAGUUAGGGUAUGAAGGAACUCCGUUGGGCUGUGUAAGGUGGAAGCGUGACGCUGGCAUUUGUCGCACUUGCGCACGUAUGUCUCGCAGUCGGCGUUCAUGGUUGGCCAGUAGAAUCCGAGAUUCUUUACUUUUAAUGCGAGAGCUCGUCCGCCCGAGUGAUUGCCUACUGCUCCUUCAUGUGUUUCGGCCAUGACUAGUCUCGUUUCUUCGCCGGAGAUACAUUUGAGUAGCACCUUCGUCGCGGUCCAUCGGUGUAGUUCCCCGUCCAUGACAACGUAGUGUGCGCUACGUCGCUUCAGUCGCCGCGCGUCCCAUUUUUCGGUGUGCAAUAAACCUUCAGCGAGGUAAUCGAUGAGUUCUUUGCGCCAGUCUGUUGGCUGAUCAUCCUGCGAAGGAGGUUCUGCUUCGUCGAUGUCCAUCGCUUCGCUAAUCGCUGCUGCGAUCGCAGUCUGUUCCGCCUUUGUAUCGAUGCUCGGUUUCUCGAUUUUAUGGAUUGGGAUUGUCCUCUUGACUUGAUCGUGUAGCUUGCUUCCUAGAGCAGCGAGGGCGUCGGCACAAACAUUUUCUCGGCGAGGAACCUUCGUGAGUUCGAAGAACUCGAAGUCUCGUGUGAGGUCUUGGACGAGUUUGAGGUAGGCGUCCAUCCUUUCGUUGCGGACGUCGUAAUCGCCGAGAUACUGGCUUACGACAAGUUGAGAGUCGCAGUAAGCGCUGAUUCUUUUGGCCUUCACUGCCUUGGCGAGACGGAGCCCUACGAUGAGGGACUCGUACUCAGCUUCGUUGUUUGACGCCGCAAAACCAAAACUGAAUGACUGCCGGAUGAGUUCUCCUAUUGGUGAUUGCAGUUGCACUCCUGCCCCCGACCCUUUACUCGUAGAUGAACCGUCGACGUGUAAGAUCCAGUUUAAACUUGGUAGGAUGAGGUCUUGCUCCAGCUCUGGUGUUAACUCGAUCAAGAAGUCGGCAAGCACCUGUGACUUUGCUGCUGUACGAUUCUUGUACACGAUGUCAUGUUCGCUCAGCUCCAUCGCCCAUUUAGUCAACCGUCCUGACUGGUUAGUAUUCGGCAUAACCGUUCGGAGUGGUUUGUUGGACAGUACUUCAAUCGUGUGCGACUGAAAGUAGGGUCGCAGUUUCCUGGCCGAGGUGAUGAUAGCUAAGGCCAUCUUUUCGAGUGUUGGGUAUCUCGUCUCCGGGUCGGUCAUUCUUUUACUUGUGUAAAAGAUUGGUUUCUGUUCUCCCCGAUCUUCUCGAAUGAGCACGCUGCUGACGGCGGAGGAUGUGACGGCUAUGUAGAGAGACAAUGUGUCGCCGGCUUCUGGCUUUGAUAGUACUGGGGGGGUUGUGAGGUAGUUCUUGAGUUGAUUGAACUCCUCCUCGCACUUUUCGUCCCAGAAGAACCUCUUAUUGCCCCUUAGUAGCUCGUAGAAGGGAAGACACUUAUCGGUUGAUCGCGAGAUGAACCUGUUGAGAGCUGCUAUGCGUCCGGUUAGUCGUUGUACUUCGCGGCUGUUCUUUGGGCUUGGAAGGUCGAGGAUCGCCGAGAUCUGCUUGGGGUUAGCCUCGAUUCCUCGUUGAGUGACAAUGUAGCCGAGGAAUUCUCCCGAAGUGACACCAAAGGUACACUUGGUCGGGUUUAGCUUCAUCCCGUAGUCGUUCAAGAUCUUGAAGCAGUCGCGUAAGUUGCUUAGGUGAUCGUCGGCCUUGAGCGAUUUGACUAACAUGUCGUCGAUGUACACUUCCAUGGUGUUGCCAAGCUGAUCAGCAAACAUUCGGUUGACGAGUCGCUGAUAAGUCGUGCCGACGUUCUUUAGCCCGAAGGGCAUCACCUUGUAGCAGUAGGUCCCUCUGUCGGUGAUGAAUGCCGUCUUCUAGCGAUCGUCGGGAUGCAUCAAGAUCUGGUUGUAUCCCGAGAAAGCGUCCAUGAAGGUUCGGAGUUCGUUACCAGCAGUUGAUUCGACGAGACGAUCGAUAUGAGGGAGUGGGUAACUGUCCUUUGGGCACGCCUUGUUGAGGUCCGUGAAGUUGACGCAUAUGCGCCAUUUGCCGUUUUUCUUUUUGACGACAACCGGGUUAGCCAACCAUUCGGGGUAUCGGACUUCGGUUAUGAAACCCGCAUCGAGGAGCCUGUCGACUUCUUCGUUUACGACUUUAGAUCGUUCUGGACCGAGUUUUCGUCGCUUCUGUCGGAUGGGUUUGAACGUCGGGUCGACGUGCAGUUCAUGGGAGCUAACUGCGGGGUCGAUCCCCUUCAUGUCGGAACUCUUCCAGGCGAACGUCGAGGCGUUGUCUUUGAUGAAAGAGAUGAUCCUUGAACAUACGUCGUCGGACAGGUAGACGCCAACUCGGAUGAUUUUCGUCGGGUCAGAUUCAUCAAUUGCGACUUCGCGAACUUCCUCCUUCUGGGGGUAUAUCUUGUUGAGUGGUUUACUGACGGAGUUGACAAGGGAAGCUUGUUGCUGCAUCUUUACAGUUUCGAUCAGUAGUUCUCUCGCGGCUUGUUGAUCUCCCCGAAUCGUCUGAGUUUUGCCGUCUUUUCCGGGAAAUUUGACGCAUUGAUCAUAAUUCGAAGGGACGGCUUUCAUGGAAUGCAGCCAUGGUGUUCCGAGUAUGGCAUUAUAGGGUGCUUUGGCGCGGAUGACGGAGAACUUGACGGUGCGGGUUAUACCACCUGCGUAAACUGGAAGGCGAAUUGUCCCGAUCAUAUGCUCCGAGGCUCCGUUGAAGCCGGUGAGCGUGCGAGAAGAAGGCUUCAUAGCCCGUAAAUCAACUCCCAUUUUGUCGAGUGUGUCGCGAAAGAUGAGAUCGACUGAGCUGCCGGUAUCAAUAAGGACUUUGGCGACCAGACAUUCGCCAAUGUCAAGGUCGACGAGGAGAGGAUUGUUAUGUGGCAUGUGGACGCCCUUGGUGUCUAGUGCCGAAAAAGUGAUCUGGUGAUCAUUUUCGACUGGAGAAGGCCACUUCUGAGAGGUGGUUGCUUGACGUUUGUAAUCUUUGACGGCUCGAACCGAGUCACCGCAAGGUGGUGAUCCGCCCAUUAUGACACUAAUGUGCGGGGCUCGGGUAGCUCGCAUUAAUUCGAGUUGCUUCCUCAAAUCGUCAGUUGUGUUCUCGAAUAUAGGAGUUUCUGCGGGCUGUUUCUUUUUUGAUUCGAGACGUCGUCGCAGAUCGGACCCUUUCGAACGGUUGAGUUGGAUUCGCAGGUCGUCGGCCUUCGAAUUGAGCUGGUCGCGAAUGUCGCCAGUUUGACCGACUCUCCGAGUGUUGCAUUUGGAGAUGUUCGCACGGAGGUCGGCGGUUCAUGUGUUUUCGUUCGUGGCGCUUUUUCGCUUCAAUAGAAUGCGCAGGUCUUUAUCAGUUUUCGAGGGAGCGAGAGACUGCUUAUCCUUGCUGUCCAAUUUAUCGCGCAGAUUUGGUUUCACUAUCGGGACGUCGUCAUCAGGGGAGUCGCAAGGGCGAGAGAUUAUGACUUCCACUCAUCGCCGGCGACGUGGGUGUUCGUCUUCUGACGAAUCGUUGGCGGGGCCGACGUUGUUGACGGGAGUGCGCUCAGGGCUUGCUCUUUCCUCGCUCGGGGCCGUGUUCUUUUGAGACUUCUGUGCCUUCUUCUCCUUGUUCUUACUCCAUCUUUUAGUGUUUUUCGGUUUCGUAGGAGAAGUGGGCAUUUGGAUUGUCCCAUUAGUGAUCCCGUCGAAAAACUGCCCGAUGAGGACCUUGCAUUCCUUCGUGUCAUGGGAAUCCCUUUUGUGGUAGAGGCACCAUUUUUUUGGCUCCUCGGAGUUUGAACUCGCUGGUUCGGAUGAGGUUGACUGCUUCGGAGCGGAGUCUCGAUCCCAGUGGUUCCAGCCUUUCUCUCGCGUGAUGGCUGCUGAUUUUGGAGAUUCCUCAUCAUCGACCGAGCUAACGUAGCCUCGCUUCUGAGUGGUAUUUCCACCGGAGGAGUGCUGGCAGGGCUCGGGGCGGGUGUCGUUUGUUCGGGAGGAUCGCUGUUUCGCUGCUGCUUCUUUUGCGAACUUUGCUCUGGUGUCUUCUUCCAUGCGGAUAAAGUUGUGCGAGCGAGCGAUGGCGUCGGAGACAGAUUUUGUCGGAUAUCGGUAGAGAUCCUGGCGGAAUGUGGAGUCGACGUGCAAGGUGUUCAUCAAAGAUUCGACGGCGAUAUGGUCGAGAAUAUCAAUCUUCGAGACAAUAGCUUUGAAUUUCUCCAUGAAGUCGCAGAGACUUUGGUCGCUGGCGUGAGUGAGGUUCCAUAAAUCUGACACGGUCGCUUCCUGGUUGGUGAACAUGAUAUAGUUCUUAAGGAAAGCCGUCAAGAGGUCGUGGAAACAGUCGACGGAGUUCUCUCUGAGGCCGGUGAACCAAGUAAGGGCCGGUCCUUCUAGGGUUUCGACGAAGAGUUGGCAAAAGCCGGCGUCUUUGUCUUCGUCGGUCAGGUUUGCGCGUCGCAUCGCUAUGUUGAAAGACGUGACGUGAGUAGAAGGGUCAGAAAGACCUUUGAAGAUUCGAAGACGGAGUUUCUCCAUCUUCUGUAGCCGCACGCCGGUAACCUUUUGCGUGAAGGGUGUACGAAGAGAUUCCGCGAGUACAUGCUCGAUUUGGGGCGCGGACGUCGUCACCUGGUGGAUCUUCGAAUUGAUAUCGAGGACCGGCUGUUUCAAUGCGGCUAGUUCGCUUGCGGUGUGCGCGUUGGUGUCGUUACCGGCGCUUUGGUUAUCGUUAUCCCGCGUAGGUGCUAAGUCAUCGGUUCGUUCUGUGGCGAACAAGUGUCGACGAUACUGCGCCAUUGAAGCUUCGGCGUUUGCAGCGAGAGGAGCAAGGAUCUUUGCUAUCGCCGUGAUUUGGUCAACUGCCGCCUUCUGCGCCGCUUCUUGUAGGGCGAGGCGUGCCAGGAUAGUUUCCAUAGACGCAGGAUGGGGAAGUGGAGUUACUGGUGUAGGCGUAGGUGUCAUCUCUGGAGCCGGCGUCACCUCGAGAGCUUCGCGCUCCUCGCCUGACGAAGAACUGUCGUUGUUAACGACCAUAGUUCUGACGUUACUUUGCUAGUUGUCCCACGGUGGGCGCCAACUGUUUGAUCGGAAAACGGUAAUAAAUAAGAUAUGGGUUUAAACAAAGACGUCUUAUUAAUGGUCGGAGAAAAACGUUCAGUCGGUUACAAGGGAAACGGAGAGAGUGCGACAGAAAGGAAGCCGGUGGCUCGAUGAGCUACUGGAAAAGUACAACUAACGGCGAGAUGAAGCAAAGGUGAAAACCCUAAUCUAGCCGCCAAGUGUUAGUCAGUGAUUUCGGAUCCUUCUCUCGUUGUCUCCCCUUUCUCUUAUAUAGACGUCCUGAUGCCUCGUCCUUGACCUAAUUUAUGCCAUCUUGGUGGGCCUCCUCUGCUGGGCCGAGAAGCCCGUAGGCGUCCGAGCAGCCGCUGAGCCGAAUGUACUUCAGUCGAUGAUGAUUGACUAAAAGUACUCAAGAGUCAAGCAGAGAGACCUGGCUCUUGAGCCGACCGAUCGAGCCGUCGCUCUACCUAAUCUGGGCCAGACCUUUCUAUUCCUCGGGCCUUGUGGGAUGGUCAAAUCCAUCCUCUACAAAGAAGAAGACGGCGAAGAGCAAACUGAGAGCAGAAGCCUUUGAGACUUUUGACAUUGUUGCUUGGUGUUUCUUG
This 12191-nucleotide long non-coding RNA is filed under the name Brassica napus (rape). RNAcentral's name for it is "long non-coding RNA (BNAP_LNC012429)". Lineage: Eukaryota; Viridiplantae; Streptophyta; Magnoliopsida; Brassicales; Brassicaceae. The record is from RNAcentral.